This 253-nucleotide ribosomal RNA is filed under the name uncultured bacterium. Its description in RNAcentral is "partial 16S ribosomal RNA". It matches the Rfam family "Bacterial small subunit ribosomal RNA", at positions 524 to 776 of the family's 1533-position model. The record is from RNAcentral.
UACAGAGGUGACUAACGUUGUCCGGAAUUAUUGGGCGUAAAGGGCGCGUAGGUGGUCAGGUAAGUCAGGUGUGAAAGCUCUGGGCUUAACCCAGGAAUUGCAUCUGAUACUGCUUGGCUUGAGUACGGUAGAGGAGGGUGGAAUUCCCAGUGUAGCGGUGAAAUGCGUAGAUAUUGGGAAGAACACCGGUGGCGAAGGCGGCGAGCUGGCCUGUUACUGACGCUGAGGCGCGACAGCGUGGGGAGCAAACAGG